RNAcentral lists this ribosomal RNA (253 nucleotides) under uncultured bacterium. RNAcentral describes it as "partial 16S ribosomal RNA". It matches the Rfam family "Bacterial small subunit ribosomal RNA", at positions 524 to 776 of the family's 1533-position model. The record is from RNAcentral.
UACGUAGGGGGCAAGCGUUGUCCGGAAUCAUUGGGCGUAAAGAGCGCGUAGGCGGUCCGAUAAGUCGGCUGUGAAAGUCAGGGGCUCAACCCCUGGAUGCCGGCCGAUACUGUCGGGCUAGAGUCCGGAAGAGGCGAGUGGAAUUCCUGGUGUAGCGGUGGAAUGCGCAGAUAUCAGGAGGAACACCAAUAGCGAAGGCAGCUCGCUGGGACGGUAUUGACGCUAAGGCGCGAAAGCGUGGGGAGCAAACAGG